AGUGAAGUUCUGUUGUGGCGCAGAUUUUUCCCACGCCCUCUGAAGCCACCAUCAGUGUAAAUGUCAUUUUUCUUUAGUCAUGUCUGAAGCUUAAUUUUUCUGUGCGCUAUUCAUAGGGCACAUCUACAUUUCUCCUACUUCUUUUGGAGCAAAUGGAGGGGCCCCAUGCCCAAGUAUGGGCUCCAUCACUUUACGGUUCCUUUAAGCCCCCAGGAAUGACCUCACCAGUUCUCCAUGAGGCCAGCUGGUGGUGCUACACCCCAAAGAACCUGCCCUCAGUGUGAGGCGCAAUCGGCCUUCCAACCUCCAGACAGAGAAGAACAAAGUGGGAUAAAUCUUGUUAGGCUGGGACAGAUUGUGUCAUGGACUUGAGGUCAUCAUUGUGAUUACUCACAGAUGAAUGGAACAGGACUCUAUUUAAAGUGCUUUUCCAUAACCUGGCUUCCAAACAUGUUGUAGUACUUGGGAAUCCCAGACAUGAGCACCUAAAGUUCACUUUUUACUCCAAACCUCCUCAGAGACGACCUCAUCGCUGCGUCAGGUCUGAGUGAGUCACUCUUUGGCGAUUUCUCCAUCAGGGCAAAGGAAUGUGGCUCUGUGAAAACAGGCGGAGACGGAAGAAUCCACUCUGUUUCUGGGAGAUUCCUGCAAGUUUACAGGAGUUACGUCAGCUGCUGAGUUGGGCUUCCUGCAGACCGCAAGUCCAGAAGCUCCGAAUCCAAACCCGUUUGCCUGCGAAGCCAAAACCAGGAGAGUUUUAAAGUCCGCCUGUGAGUCACGCAUGGAUGCAGGUUCUGGAAGGAAUGUUAACGGGAGACCCCUGAAAGCAACUCCAGCAACGGUUUGGCAGAUCAGAUGAAUCAUCUGAAGGGUCCAGCAUCUGUGGUAGCCAUCAAAGACGGGAACACGGGGAGAAAACGCACGCCGGCGAGACGUGACAGAGAGUGAGGUCAUGUGGAGUCAGCAAACGUCUGUUGGUUCUGAGGUUCACCAUCACAGUUGCUGGACAAACAUCCUGUUUUCAUCGAUUCUUUGUUCUUCGUCCCACAGAGGGCAGCAGCGUUGGCGUCACAUCUGGGGCUUGAGCUGCUGACUUCCAAGGUUUUGGAAAACGAACAAAGGCGGCGUCUUUGGGCCUCGGCGUGAAGAUGAGAUCACACAACCACACUCCAGAUGACUGAGGCCAACUGUUCCUCAUUCCUGAACAAAGGUCUGGCUGGACUUUGGAUCCGUGGGAUCAAACUUCCAGAUCUGAGAUUCUUGCAUUUUUCCUCCCUGACUUCACUUUCCGUCACGCUUUCAUCAACACUUUUACCGCUGAGAGCGAGGCGCAUGUCUGUUCUGUGACUGCCAAGGAAAAGGUUCUGGUUGAACGUUUCCACUUCCCUCCACCCUGACAUUUCUAUUCCGGUAUGCGGUGGGUUUUCAGGAAACACCGCAGCUGUGAAACACGAGCAGAGAAGAUGUCAGAGACGGCUCUAGCUGGUUUUUCUGCAGCUCCUGAAACUUCUCCAGCUUUCAAGGCUUUUCUCAAAGUUAGAAGGGAACUCUGCCAAAAAGGAAAUCGGAGUAAGAGCUGACAUCGUCCAAGGGUCUGAAAUGAACGAGUGGUUAAAAACCGCCUCAUUAGAUGAGUUUUGGCUUCUGAACACACACACGAUCUUGAAGCUGUCGUUUCACGAGGAGAAAGUGUUGCAACUUCCAUUGUCACGAACAUAGAUCAAAAAUCAGGAACCAUUUGUGGAACCUCACAAAAAUAACAGGGUAAAACCACAGAUAGGCUCCAGCAACUCUGUGACGGCGUUGAGAUGGUUUGGAAAAUGCAUGCAUGGAUGUUUAAAACUGAGACAUAUUUGUAGCUACUUACACCUUAGGGGCCUCUGAACUCACCGGUGCGUUUGCAAUCCCAGCGAUUGUUUACAAAGGCGUAGAAAUGACUCAGACGCCAUGUUUGUACAAUUUUUUAAAUCCGAAAUUUAGCUUGAACGGCUCGAGAUGAUUUUUAUCUGUGAAAUGUUUUGAUUUAGAACAAACAGAAGUAUGAUGGAGUUAUAGGGCCACACACAAAAAAUAAAAUACAUUUUUGAGAUAAAAACUUGUAGAUUUACAAGACUUAAGUGAAAGUGAGCGUUCAGAGCAGCAGGUGAACGCCACGCAGCAGCAGAGCGACUAAACCCAGUUGAACAGGUGAGCUGAAUGUU
Molecule: non-coding RNA, 2201 nt
Organism: Oryzias latipes (Japanese medaka)
Lineage: Eukaryota; Metazoa; Chordata; Actinopteri; Beloniformes; Adrianichthyidae
Source: RefSeq, a predicted model, not a curated record